CGCCAACACUGGGACUGAGAACUGCCCAGACUCCUACGGGAGGCUGCAGUCGAGAAUCAUUCGCAAUGGGCGAAAGCCUGACGAUGCGACGCCGUGUGAGCGAUGAAGGCCUUUGGGUCGUAAAGCUCUUUCGCUUGGGAAUAAGAGAUAAUGAAUAACACUCAUUAAAUUUGAAGGUACCAGGU
Molecule: ribosomal RNA, 185 nt
Filed under: uncultured Chlamydiales bacterium
Lineage: Bacteria; Pseudomonadati; Chlamydiota; Chlamydiia; Chlamydiales
Description: partial 16S ribosomal RNA
Rfam family: Bacterial small subunit ribosomal RNA
Source: RNAcentral